GAUGAGAACGUAGCGAAAUGCGAUAAGUAAUGCGAAUUGCAGAAUUCAGUGAGUCAUCGAAUCUUUGAACGCACAUUGCGCCCUGUGGUAUUCCGCAGGGCAUGCCUGUUCGAGCGUCAUUUCAACCCUCAAGCCCCGCUUGGUGUUGGGCCCCGCCCGCUGUGGCCGGCCCUAAAGACAGUGGCGGCGCCGCCUGGCCCUCAGCGUAGUACAUCUCUCGCUCCAGGGUCCGGUGGCCGCCUGCCAGAACCCCCCAACUCUGUGGUUGACCUCGGAUCAGGUAGGGAUACCCGCUGAACUUAAGCAUAUCAAUAAGCGGAGGA
RNAcentral lists this unclassified non-coding RNA (323 nucleotides) under soil metagenome. RNAcentral's name for it is "partial contains 5.8S ribosomal RNA, internal transcribed spacer 2, and large subunit ribosomal RNA". The stretch from base 5 to 119 matches the Rfam family "5.8S ribosomal RNA", at positions 40 to 154 of the family's 154-position model. The record is from RNAcentral.